RNAcentral lists this unclassified non-coding RNA (331 nucleotides) under soil metagenome. RNAcentral describes it as "partial contains 5.8S ribosomal RNA, internal transcribed spacer 2, and large subunit ribosomal RNA". The stretch from base 1 to 120 matches the Rfam family "5.8S ribosomal RNA", at positions 35 to 154 of the family's 154-position model. The record is from RNAcentral.
GAUGAAGAACGCAGCGAAAUGCGAUAAGUAAUGUGAAUUGCAGAAUUCAGUGAAUCAUCGAAUCUUUGAACGCACAUUGCGCCCGCUAGUAUUCUGGCGGGCAUGCCUGUUCGAGCGUCACUUCAACCAUCAAGCCCCAGGCUUGUGUUGGGGGCCUGCGGCUGCCGCAGCCCCUGAAAAGCAGUGGCGGGCUCGCUGUCAUUCCGAGCGCAGUAGUUACAUCUCGCUCCGGGCGUGGCGGUGGGCACCUGCCGUGAAACACUCCUUCUAAGGUUGACCUCGGAUCAGGUAGGGAUACCCGCUGAACUUAAGCAUAUCAAUAAGCGGAGGA